GACGAACGCUGGCGGCGUGCUUAACACAUGCAAGUCGAACGGAAAGGCCCUGCUUUUGUGGGGUGCUCGAGUGGCGAACGGGUGAGUAACACGUGAGUAACCUGCCCUUGACUUUGGGAUAACUUCAGGAAACUGGGGCUAAUACCGGAUAGGAGCUCCUGCUGCAUGGUGGGGGGUGGAAAGUUUCGGCGGUGGGGGAUGGACUCGCGGCUUAUCAGCUUGUGGGUGGGGUAGUGGCUUACCAAGGCUUUGACGGGUAGCCGGCCUGAGAGGGUGACCGGCCACAUUGGGACUGAGAUACGGCCCAGACUCCUACGGGAGGCAGCAGUGGGGAAUAUUGCACAAUGGGCGGAAGCCUGAUGCAGCAACGCCGCGUGCGGGAUGACGGCCUUCGGGUUGUAAACCGCUUUCGCCUGUGACGAAGCGUGAGUGACGGUACUGGGUAAAGAAGCACCGGCUAACUACGUG
Molecule: ribosomal RNA, 468 nt
Filed under: uncultured bacterium
Lineage: Bacteria
Description: partial 16S ribosomal RNA
Rfam family: Bacterial small subunit ribosomal RNA
Source: RNAcentral